GAGACUCUGUGCGCGUGCAUAUCAAUAAGCGGAGGAAAAGAAACUAACAAGGAUUCCCCUAGUAACGGCGAGUGAAGCGGGAAGAGCUCAAAUUUGAAAUCUUAAAGGGUUUCCCUUUACGAAUUGUAGUUUAAAGAAGUGUUUUCUGUUGGAGUUUCGGUAAAAGUUCUUUGGAAUAGGACAUCAUAGAGGGUGAGAAUCCCGUAUUUGACCGUUACUUUCCAGCUGUGUGAUACACUUUCAAAGAGUCGGAUUGUUUGGGAAUGCAGUCCAAGAUGGGUGGUAAAUUUCAUCUAAAGCUAAAUAUUGGCGAGAGACCGAUAGCGAACAAGUACCGUGAGGGAAAGAUGAAAAGAACUUUGAAAAGAGAGUUAAACAGUACGUGAAAUUGUCAAAAGGGAAGCGUUUGACACCAGUGUUGUUUAGUUGAAAAUCAAUUCAAUAAUUUUUGAUUCUGAGUAGUAUUGACUUCAUCAGCUUGCUGCUUUCUUCUCAGAAAUUAUUGAAUGCACUUUUCAGUUAACAAGUCAACAUCAAUUUCUUUUGUUGUAAAAGGGUAAGAGGAAGGUGGCUUACGCUUCGGCGUCAAGUGUUUAUAGCCUUUUAUCUCUGCAAUCGGAGAGAUUGAGGUACUAGCAGCGUAGACUCCUUCGGGGUUAGAUACACUUGUGCUAAGCUAUAGCCUUGUAUAGACAACUUGUUGACUAUGCUCAGUCAUGUAGCUUACUCGCUGAUGCUAUUUUACCUACGCUUAGGAUGUUGAAGAUGUAGCACAUCAU
RNAcentral lists this ribosomal RNA (779 nucleotides) under uncultured Neocallimastigales. RNAcentral's name for it is "partial large subunit ribosomal RNA". It matches the Rfam family "Eukaryotic large subunit ribosomal RNA", at positions 23 to 643 of the family's 3401-position model. Lineage: Eukaryota; Fungi; Neocallimastigomycota; Neocallimastigomycetes; Neocallimastigales. The record is from RNAcentral.